RNAcentral lists this long non-coding RNA (18182 nucleotides) under Ananas comosus (pineapple). RNAcentral describes it as "long non-coding RNA (ACOM_LNC034360)". The record is from RNAcentral. Lineage: Eukaryota; Viridiplantae; Streptophyta; Magnoliopsida; Poales; Bromeliaceae.
CUUCAUCACUAUGAUUAUAUCCAUUACCUCUGUGGCAUGGGCUUCACCGACAAACAAGUCGGAGCCAUCGGUGGCGGUUCGGUGCAGUGUUCUAAGGUCCGGGCAAUCAGCCCCGAACAGCUGAACUAUCCUUCUAUUGCGGUGUACCUAAGUGCUAAUACGACCGAGGUGACUGUCAACCGAACGGUGACGAAUGUCGGGGACGCCGUUACAACCUACAACGUGAAGUACGACGAACCGGAAGGAGUGAGAGUCGACGUUGCGCCUGAUAGGCUGCAAUUCUCCCGAUCCAGGCAGAUGAAGGAUUUUCGAGUCACGUUGAGCAUCAAGCCGGGGAGACCAACAGUUAGGAUGGCAGGGCAAGUUUUUGAGGGGCAAAUGGCGUGGGUCUCCGGAAAGUACUACGUAAGGAGUCCUAUUGCCGUCACAAUCCAGUGAAACACGAUCGUAGUUUUAAGUCCCAUGUGCAAAGCAACAUACUAGUUCUUCCCCAGGCGUAAAAGAAAGAAAAAAGAAAAAAAAAUAAUAUAAAAUAAAUAAAAACAUGUCGCCCACCAAAAAACUCUACUCCGUGGAAACUAAGAUUCUUCUUCUUUUUCUUGUUUCCUUUUCUUUUUCUUUUUUUAAUGGCACUGUGGUGAGAACAAAUCCACCUAAUUAGGCUGUUCGUGUUUUUGAACUUUGGAUCGGGAGAAAGCAAAAUAAAAAAAAUUAUUGGUAGAUCAGAUCAUAUCUGUUUUCUAUCUCAUCUCAACUUAAUGCAAUUCCUACCAUUCGUUGAAUAACUUGGCUAGAUGCAAUGGGACUAGGCCUAGUUUUAGACUUUUGAGUGGAUGCCCACUCCGAGAAGCCCACUACAAUCCAUUGGUCGUGAGUCAAUGGCUCAAUCGAGUAAAAUUAUUGCCUUUAGUAACCGUACUAGUUAUUAAAAAGGUAAACCAAGUUUAGGCCCAAAAGAGUUGUGAAAACAAAAGAUUGUCAAAUUACACCCAUAUUCUGCCAACCUCGACUAGGGAUGGAAACGAGCCGAGCUCGAGCGAGCUUAUGUCAGCUCAAAUUUAGCUUGAAAUUAGUUUCGAGCCUAAAUCUAGGCUCAAGCUCGGCUUGAAAUUAAUUCGAGCCGAGCUCGAGUGAGCCUAAUUUCGAGUCGAGCCGAGCUCGAGCUCUAAACGAGCCGAUUGAAAUUCUCUACAUUAUAUAAUCAAUAGUUUAAUUUUUAUAGAACAUUACCUAUAAUUUGAUGCAACAUAUUCAAUAGUUCAAAAUACAAAAUAAUUAUAAGAAAUGUGAGCUAGGGUGACUGUCUGACUGGAUGAGGGUUAGAGAGAGAGAGAGAGAGAGAGAUGGGAAAAAAUUAGGGAUUUGAAAAUUUGAAUGUUAUCAUGUUUUAGAGUUAUGUGCAACAGUGAAAGUCUGAAAGAGAGAGUGUGUUAUGUAAUUUAGAGUUGGGCUCUAUUGCAUGGUUGUACUUGUUGGGUUUAUUUUAUGGGCCAACAAUAAUAGCCCAAAUUAAAUUAAAGUCUAUAUAUUAAUUAAAAUACAUUAUAUUUAUAAAUAUUAUAUAUAUAUAUAUUUUCGAGCUUUCGAGCUUUUCGAGCCUAAUUUGAACGAGCCGAGUAAUACUCAAGCUCGGCUUGAAAUGAAUUUCGAGCCUUUUAUUUUGUUCAAGCUCGGCUCAUUUAAUUUCGAGUCGAGCUCGAGCGAGCCGAAUAUCGAGCCGAACACGAGUCGAACGCGAGCCGGCUCGCUCGUUUGCCAGCCCUACACCUCGACAACAGUUAACUUAAACAUUUUUCAAGUAGCAUAUACUAAACCAGUAAAUACAAUUAUAAAAUUAAAAGUUAUUAAUUAAAAGUAAAAAUGUCUGAAGACCCCCUCAAACUAUAAAGGCAUCUUAAAACAAGCCCGCAUCAACUUGCUUUUUUUUUUUUCUUUUAUUUACAAACCUCCUUACUGUCCCGAUUAUUUAAAAUUAAGUGAUUUUUCGCGAAAUAAAUUAGAGGCGUUUAUCAAGUUUCAUCUAUGGUCUCAUUAAUUUAAUAAUUAUAAAUUAUUUUUUAGCAAAUACAAUUAGGAUGAUCAAUGGCUAAUUUCUAAAUGAGCUAUUAUUUUUUAAAAAAAAAUUAGCUAAAUUUAAUUAGAACAACUUUAAAAAAUUAGAAAUUUACUGCAGGUUCCAUUCCCAAAAGGUUAAAGGAGCGCUAUUUUAUAGUUGAGGGAGGCCUACACAGCAAUUAUAUCUUAAUUAAUAACACUAUAGAACUAUCGCUGAUCGGAAACUCCAUGUCGAGGGAGGAGAAGAAGGAGAAGGAGAAGGAGGGUGUGUUAGUGAUCUCGAUCUCGUCCACGUCUUCGUCCUCGUCCUAUGGCGAGGAAGAAGAAGAGGAGGAGGAGGUGGAGGUGAGGUCGGCGGAGGAGAAAGGGAGGGACGACGAUGAGUGUUGCAUACUCCCCUCCGAUCCCUUCGCCGACGAUCUCAUCCUCAACCUCUCGCUUUGCCAACGCAACGACGACGGCGAUGAUCUCGCCAUUCUCUUCGUACGAGGCCAAGUAAUCGAUUCUCUUUACUUCCCCUUUCGCUCCUUGGUUCCUACUUUGCACUAUUGGUUCGUGUUAAAUAAUUUUUCCUUAAUGGAAAGAUCAUAUGAUUGACAUUUUAGGAAACCCUAGUUUACAACGAGGAAUUAAGUUCUAACCUUAGUAUCUAAGUUUUAAAGAACGGUAAAAGGGGUACUUUUCCUUUCCGAAAACCAGGAUCUGCGGGUUUUACCAGUGUAUGAAAUUGCCAGAUGUUGUAUUUUCUUUUUCCCCUUCCUUUUUGGGGUUUUGUCUCUGCAGAUUUAUUGUGACGUGGUGAAACUAAAUUGGUAGUAAAAGAACUUGUAAUUUAGUAUUGAUUAACCCUGGCGACACCCAUAAUUGAAGAUAGAAAUGCCAUCUCAUUUUCGCUUAUGUGUACGAUAAGUUUUCCGUCAAGAGUACCACAAAACAACUAUAAUAUUGUGAGAAUUUCUUUUGGAAUCAUUGAUAUGGAGUUAAACUGUUGGAGUUCAUCAACAUGUAACAUUCUUUUUUUCUAAAAAAGAGUUUCCUGAAGUUGAUCGUAAGAAUUUCUAAUUUCUACGAAAUGCAGGUGGCUUGUAGAGAUCUUCCCCACCAAAGAAAUCUCUGUGCAGAAUAUCCCUUUAGCAAGACACCUCAUGAGAGCUAUUGUCCGAAGGUAGCCUGAUCCAUCUCUUAUAUUCAGCUGAGGUGGUGCAAAUGGAUUUUAAUCUAAUUUGAUUAACAAGUUUGAAUUUGGAUAUAAUGGUUUUUGUUUUCCUAUUACAUUGUUUAUUGGUAGUAGAUUCCCCAGUAGGGUUAUAUAAAGGAAGUUGAUGCCAUUGUCAAUGCCAAAAAUUUUAAGUUAGAAUGUGUUAAUAAGAUUACUUUUAAUAAUAUUAGAUAUCUUACUGUGCUCAUGUUGGAAUGUGUCACAACUGAUUAGAAGUAAUGCUUCUUUUCAUCUUCGUGAAUUCAUGAUUAUUUUCACAACUACUACUUUAUAAUUUAGACAUAUGCUCGAUGUUACAUGUUGUGUUAUCAAUUGGUGUGCGACAAGUAAGAGCAAUUUCUAUGGUGUUUCAACUGUAAGACGUUUAGAGAUAAUCGUGUGGAUCUUUUUUCUAGCUUAGUUAUAAAGAUAAUGGUAGAUUAAGCAAGUAAUCUUGGUAAUUAUUUGAAUGUAGGGAGGCCAUUGCAGAAUCUGUUUAUGACUCCUGCUCUUCUUUACGGUUGCUACCUUUUCAAACUUGAAAUCUAUCUUAAGUUUCUUGUAAGUUGGCAACCUUAAUAUGUUGUUGACAUCUUUUUCUUCUUUGGGCUGAACAAAAACCUAGUAAUUUCUGCUUGUUCAAUUAAACAGAAAGGGCCAAAGAACAAUCUACAAGCUUGACAUAAUGUCGAGAAAAAUAAAAUAGAAUUGUGCUAGAAUAUUCGAUCUUAUUCACAGGGAUUCUUAAAAAUAUCAUACUAAAUAAAAUGAUUAAAAUAUGUUACAACUAUCAAACUAUCUGUUUGCCUUUCUCAUACAUAAAGGCAUAUUGGGUUCUUAUUUGAUAUUAUAGAAACUCAUGACUUCUCAAUGAUGUUAUGUAGUAUUCUCUCAUUUAGUAAUCAAUUGCUGCAGUGUUUCUGCUAUGUCUGCGAGAAAAUAGCUCCCUGUGAGGCUUGGAAGGGACCUCUAGGACACUGUCAUGCAUCUGACCAAGAAAAGAAAUGGAAGGAUAUGAGGAAAGCUAGGCAAUCAGCUCAAGCACAGGAAAUUAAGCCUUGCUCUGAAGUGUAAGAUCCCCUGAGCACCUCAUCUAUAUUUGCACCUCAUUGAAAUGGGGAUGUUGGCUUUGGAGUAAAACCAUUAAGCAUCACUUCUGGUUAACGGCAUUUUGGGCUCUUUAGGAGCUAAGCUUGGUGCUAGCUGCCUGCACAGUGCACCUCUUAGAGAGAAUGUUGAUUUUUUGAGCAAAUAAUUUAUACUCCACGUACAUGUUUAUGUUUUUGUUUUGACUUUGCAAUUGUAAAGUUCCUGUAGAUUGUAAAUUAAGUUUUACCAUCUGGUUGAUGCCCGAGAAAUCUAUCUGAAGGACUUGAUAGGCUACAGGUGUCGUCUCCUCGCACAUUUUGGGUUUUCUUCUAGUUAUGUGGCUGAUGAGACACAGUUUACUAACAUCUAUAGAAGAGAAGAUAAAUUACUUUGAAGCAGUGAUCAAUGCAUUUUUGAGUGAAGUGCGGGAUAGGGAAUAGUGUUGAAUUAACUAUUCCAAUGAUAAGUUAAUUACUAUUAAUAAGGUUGUUGCCUUUUCAUGACCACUUGAUUUUCCAAUGUAAGGUAAGAAGUGGCUGAACUUCACAUGAAAAUAUCACCUGCUGGGCCUUUUCUCAUGAGCUGGUAAUGCUAGUCUCUUCAUUUUUGUAGUAGCAUGUGAAAUUUGGCAUGCUUCUCUCUUAGCUGAAUGUGCAGUAUUCCAUCUCCAGAUCUACUCUCUUUUAUUUCUGAAGCACAACACUUCAACGUGAGGUAUGUGUGGCUCUUCUUUCUUUCUCUUUUACUCUUUCCAUCUGCAAAGGCAUUUCUGUGUCUACAGUAGAGUAGGAAAGCAAAAAAGGAAAAAAAAAUUAAAUAGUUUUUGCCUUAUUUCCUUUUUUCAUAUGCAUCAUUAUUGGCAUUAUUCCUCUUUGGUGCUUGCUUAACUUGUUUCUCAUUUCACCAUAGUAAAAGUAAAGCAUCUUGCAGAUUGAGGCACAAUGAAGGAGAAAUGGUAAAUAGUAUCUUCUAUUCUUUUUAGUAUUGAAUAAUUCAUAAUCAACUUCAUUUAUCUUCCUUCUAAGCUAUCUUGUAGACAUUUAGGAAAUUAUUUGUGUUUAGAUAUUUGAGAAAAAUGACUUUAACUGCCAUCUGAUGAAAAGUAAAUUCAGGUAUUAUAUGUAAAUGUUACGAAGGAUAGGUGUGAAGAUGAAAUUUGCUAGGUGGGUUUUUCAGUCGGGUCCAAUUUGCUUAGACCCAAAAUAUUUGUUUGGUUGUAACACUAUUUGGCUCAGCUAUCCCUUUAGGUUGAAGCCUUAGAGAGCUUUAGAACAGCAUAUGUAUUAACUUCAUCGCAUCCUGCAAGAUAAUAAGAUGACUUGUGUCUUUUACGUUGAAAGUUGAUUUAUAGUUUUUGACAAUAAGAUAGCCACUUAGGCCAAAGUCGGAAUAAGUUAUCCAAGGAUUGCUUAUUCAGUAUAAGGAUUUUCUAAAAUGAUUGUAAAAAAGAAGUUUGGUUUUUUGCUUCUUAAAAGAUUUUGAUAUUCACGAUCUGGCAGAAUAACAUAUUUUACUUGUAAGGUGAUAUAUUUUAUCUGAAAAAAUAGUUUGAAGGCCGAAUAAGUAUUCAAUUCGAGACAUUUGAUCAUACUCCUUAUUUACCAAAUGUACAAUCUUCUCAAGUAAAUCAUGAAAUUAUUCCUUUGAUGGAGAGCAUUGUGUUAAAAGUAAUAGCAGGGAAGAUGUUUUAGAUUUCUUUUCAUAUGAGACUGAGCAAGUGUUCUCAUGUAAAGAGAAAGAUGUGGCGGAUUCUGCAAUUCAACAAAAUGUGACAGCAAUGGGGGACUCCUAACAUGAUAUUUGCUACAGACCCGUGCCAUUUUCCAUUGUGAGACCUUUUUUAGGAUUCUACUCUGCUGACUCCUUGAUGCAUAAUGUGAUCUAUAAAGUUUUCUUUUGAUUAACUUGGAGAGCUGCAGCUUUUUAGGUUUAACUUCAAAGCUCACUCUUUUGGGUUCAUCAAUUUGCACCCUGUGAAGGUUUUUUUUGCAUCCUCUGCAUUCAUUGCCAUCUGAUUAAUUAUGAUUUUUGUGGAAUUUGCAUUAAGGUAUACUCGUACAAUCAUUAUUAUCUUAGAUCAAGAGAAAUGGCCUUAACUUCUGAAGUCUUACUUGUUAGAGGCUGAACCGAACUCUACUCCAAAUACAGUACCUACCCUUCAAUUCUUAGAUUAGGUUUCUUGGUUACACUUUUCUAUAAUGCCAAAAAUUUUCUGUUCUACCUUAUUUUAAACAAGCCAAGUCGAAGUAGAAUAUGAUUCAUAGUGUGGUAGAGAAAGAAAAAAUAGUAAGAGAUAGUGAUGACAUUAAGUGGUCCUAAAAUGAGUUCAUUUACCAGGAGUUACUAUGUUGUUAUGUGGUGCACUUGCUUGAUAAAUUGAUCACUUUAUGUAUCUAUGCUUUGUUGCGAGCCUGCUAAACAAAUUGAUCAAAUGUUAGAAAAUGCAGAGAAUCUUUUAAGAUACGGCUAUUAAACCAACUUAUUUACUUAAAAAUUUAUUUAAAAAUUCGGUCUUUUUGAAGCUUCUAUAGAACUGUUAUUUGUAUAGUGUUAUAGAACUGUUGUUUGUAUAGAGUUUGAAUAGUUUCUAAUAGGUAUCUACUGAAGCAUCCUCUCCUCCGUCUUGUCAUGUGAUGUAGCUGUAGAACUGUUUCUUGACUAUUGUAAGUUGACGGUGGAAAUAUACUUAAAUAAUAUUUAUUUAAGAGAAGGCCAUUUUAAGAAAGAAAAAGUUAACUUUAAUCAUUUAACUAAUGGAGAGGGUGUAUUUCCAAACUAUGCACUAUGGAGAAACAUGUUUCAUGACUAAAAUUUUGUAGCAGUAAUGCACUUUACAGUGAUACUAUGCAUUAAAAAAAGUUUGAAAAAAGAAUAUCAUGCAUAUAGGUGAUUGUAAUUAGUAUAACUGGGGAGAUUUUCCAGAUUUUCCUGUGCGUAUAGGCAAGUGCACGGGAACUUUGGCGUUAGCACGUCUUCUAUAAAAGGGUGAAUAAGCUGGUGCAUCUAUUAUUGCGUUCAACCAAAAGCCCGUAUUGCUAUUGUUAUUGUAUUGCAGGUAUAAAUGUAUGUAGUUCAAAAGCACUCGACUUGGAACUAGGAAGAAGAAAACACUUCUGGGUCUUUGGAUUCACCUAGCACGAUUAGAGAGAGAAAGAGUUCACUUAUUGCAUUUUAUAAUUGAUAUAAGUGUGCCGCAUGGCAUCCUUACUACGGAUCAUUAUUUUUUUGAGAGAAAGACAGCACGAUACUUACUUCAUUCAUUAGAUAAAUAAAUUUAACUAUAUAGAGUGAGACUGCUAAGACCUUGAAAAAGACGAAAAAAAUAAGAGUAAAAAGAACUAAAAAGAAAUAUUAGAGUAAAAGUAAAAACAAAACGUCAAAUCGAAGGGUAUAGCAAACACUGAUGUCACUCGGUUCUAUAAAAAUCUGUCCACUUUUUUGCCAACACUCCAAAUACUACGGAUCAUUAUUAGAUAUCUAAAAUGUAACCUGUUUGCUAUAAUUAAUCAAAUUAUAUCUUGCAAAGAUUUGUCCAUAGUUAAUUUGUCCACUAUUUGGUCUUUGUUACAUCUUGAUGCCCUCGGAAAGAAUAAUGAUGCAGAUGAUUAUUUUUCCUAUUUAAGGUCCACUUGCCUCUCCUCUUUGCAAGCACAUUCUAUUGCCUUGCUAGUUGCUACCAUGGAUAUUGUACAUUCGGUCUUCUACUUGCUUAUUUCUUUUUCCUUCUUCCUAUCCAAUCCAACUCUUCUCUUGGUUCACUCCCAACUACAGCCCAUUUCUAAUGACACCCAAAUGCAGGUCUAUAUUGUUCAUGUACAAAAGCCUGACAGCACGAGCUUCCGUCGGUUCAAGGAUCGGAAAGAGUGGUACGCGUCCUUCUUGCCCAACACCACCCUCGACUCCGGCAAGCCGCGCAUGAUCUAUGCAUACCGCCGCGCGAUCAGAGGCUUCGCGGCGUGGCUCACCGCUCAGGAAGCAGAAGCCAUGAAAUCCAUGGAUGGCGUUCUCGUAGCCUACUCCGACUUCGAGUAUGAUGCUCAAACCACCUACACCCCGCAGUUCCUAGGACUAAACGCAUGGGAGGACGGCAUUUGGUAUGACUCUCAAUACGGAGCGGGGCAAAUUAUUGGGGUCAUCGACACCGGAUUUAAGCCUGGUCAUCCUUCCUUCAGGGAUACCGAUGUAAAUCCGCCGCCUGGGACGUGGAACGGAAGCUGCUACUGGAAACAAUCCGUGUGCAACAAUAAGCUCAUCGGUGCAGUGGGAUACAGGUUUGGGCGCACCGUCUCACCUGAGGACAAUAACGGUCAUGGAACCCACACGGCGAGCACAGCUGCGGGGAAUUUUGUGGAUGAUGCCCACGUACUUGGCAUGGCACGCGGCACGGCCUCAGGGACGGCACCUAAAGCUCAUCUAGCAAUCUAUAAGGUGUUACACAACACCAAAACUGCUACUGGUACAGUGGCCAAAGCGUUUGCUAGCGACACUUUGAGGGGUAUCGAUGAAGCGAUACGCAAUCACGUGAACGUGCUAUCCAUGUCCCUCGGGACGGUGACGCAUCAGCUGCAUGCGAAUCCUAUUGCCAUAGCAUCAUACGCAGCAAUCACCGAAGGGAUUGUCCCUGUGGCCUGUGCUAUGAACGAAGGGCCCUAUAAAAGCAUCAUAGCGAACGAUGCGCCGUGGAUACUUACCGUCGGAGCAAGCACUACGGACAGGAGGAUAAGGGCCAUUGUCAAGCUCGGAAAUGGUAUGGAGUUCUUCGGCGAAACAGCAUACCAGCCAGAGGGAUUCAAUUCGACUCAGCUACCGUUGGUUUAUCCGGGGGUGCUACAGACGCAAAAGACCUUGAAUUGCAAGAAGGGCUCCAUGGACACUUUCGAUGUUAAAGGGAAGAUCGUGUUGUGCGGGGUUGGACAUAUUUCAAACAUCGAAAAGGGUGAGGUCGUUAAGGCAGCGGGCGGUGCCGCGAUGAUACUAAUGAACCAGCCGUGGAAUGGGAACACGACGUACGCCGAACCCCACGUCAUCCCGACGGCCCACGUGAGCUUCAGCGAUGCGUGGAAGAUCCUCACGUACUUCAACUCCAUGCCCGAUGUAACGGCAGCAAUCAUCUUCAACGGCACACAAUACGGCGCUCGACCGUCACCCUCAGUGGCUUUCUUCUCGUCGCGCGGCCCUAGCCUCAUGAAUGGCAACAUCAUCAAGCCGGACGUCAUUGCACCGGGCGUCAACGUUCUAGCCGCUUGGCCAUUCGAGGUAGGGCCUAAACCUGACCAGCACCUUCAGCCCACAACUCACACAUUCAACUUCGAUUCGGGAACGUCGAUGGCGACCCCUCACGUGGCCGGCAUUGUGGCAAUGUUAAAGAAUAACCAUCCUGAUUGGUCUCCUGCUGCCAUUAAGUCGGCGAUCAUGACUACCGCUUACAUGGUCGACGCCGAUGGGAAUCCUAUCGGCGAUGAUUCCAAGCCCGCGGGGACCCCAGCAAGUGCAUAUGCCAUGGGCUCGGGCCACGUCGACCCGUUGGCGGCCAACGACCCGGGCCUCGUCUAUGACCUUCAUUACUAUGAUUAUAUCCAUUACCUCUGCGGCAUGGGCUUCACUGACGCACAAGUCGGAGCCAUCGGUCGCGGUUCGGUGCAGUGUUCUAAGGUCCGGGCGAUCAGCCCGGAACAGCUGAACUAUCCUUCUAUGGCGGUGUACCUAAGUGCUAGUACGACCCAGGUGACGGUCGACCGAACGGUGACGAAUGUCGGGGACGCCGUUUCGACCUACGAGGUGAAGUACGACGAACCGGAAGGAGUGAGAGUUGAAGUUACGCCUGAUACGCUGCAAUUCUCCCGAGCCGGGCAGAUGAAGGAUUUUCAAGUGACAUUAAGCGUCGAGCCCGGGAGCCCAACAGUUAGGAUGGCGGGGCAAGUUUUUGAGGGGCAAAUGGCGUGGGUCUCCGGAAAGUACUACGUAAGGAGUCCUAUUGCCGUCACAAUCCAGUGAAACACGGUAUUACUUCUCGAGUCCCAUGUGCAAAACAACGUACUAGUUCUUUCCCCGGCGUGUAAAAAAGAAAACAUAAUAUAAAAUAAAUAAAAAACAUGUUUGUCUACCAAAAGGCUCUACUUCGUGGAAACUAAGAUUCUUCUUCUUUUUUCUUGUUUGUUUUUGUUUUUUUCUUUUUUUUUUCUUUUUUUAUUAUUAUUAUUAUGGUGUCUGAUCAGAUGAAGCAAUCGGACUGAGCCCAGUUUGAGUGGAGUGUGCACUCCGAGAAACCAACUACAAUCCAUUCCUCGUGGGUCAACAGAGCAAAAUUAUUGCCUAAAAAUAGCCGUACAAGUAAAUAAAAGGUCAAAAAAGUAUGGGAACAAAAGUAGUGAAAACCAAAGAUUCUCGAAUUACGCCCAUAUUCUACCAAGCGCGACAAAAGUUAAACAUUUUUCAAGUAUCCUAUACAAAACCAGCAAAUACAACUAGAAAUUCUUGUUUUUAAACUUUCGAAUAUUUGAAAUUGAGUGAAUUUUCUGAAAUAAAGUAGAGGCAUUAUCAAGUUCAUCUAUGGUCUCAUCAAUUUAAUAAUUUUAAUUAUUUUUUAGCAAAUAAAAUUAGGACAGUUAAUGGCUAAUAUCUAGAUGAGCUAUUAAUUGUUUUUUUUUUGGAAAAAAAACAUUAGCUAAAUUAAUUAGAACAACUAAAAGAAAUUAGAAAUUAGUGAGGCGUUCAUUCCGAAAAAGUGGAGGCGCCUAUUUUAUAGAUGAGUGGGGGGCCUGCAAACAAUUAUAUAUCUUAAUUAAUUAACAACUAUCCUGACCGGACUCCAAAUAAAUUAAAAAGAAAUAACGAAAUGAUCGCAUCCAAAACCCUGCGAUAACACACCAGUAAAAGAACAUUUGUAUGCUCAACCUUUUCAACAACCCCUAAUAUAAAAAUAUCCAGAAGAAAUUAAGAUAUCAAAUAGAACCUAUUAUUUUAGUAACAUGACCUCUCACUUACCUUCCCCCCCCAGGAGCAUGACGACCGUGGAAGAAGAGAAGGAUAGCAAGAAGAAUAGUGUAAAGAUAGAGGAGGCCAAAGAAGAAGGGGAUGAUUCCGACGAUGAUUGUUACGAGAUCGAUCCCAUCGACUUCGCCCGCAUACUCACCUUGAAAGUCUCUGAUGAAGUUGUUCUUGUUUCUGAGAAGGAACCAGUAAGAAAUCAAUCUCUACCCCCUUAAUUCUACCACCAUAAUCAAAGUUUUAAAACUAAAGGGCGAUUCGAUACUUAAAACCCGAUUGAAUUAUAUGAUGUUGAUCACUACAAUAGGUUGCACUGAGGGACUUCCCCCAUCCAAGGCACCUGUGUGCGAAUUUCCCCUUCAACACUUCUCCCCAUGAGAGUUACUGCAGCCAGGUUCCUUUUUUUUUUUUUUUUUCUUUUGAAGUGUUUCUUGAUCAAAUUUCUCAUCUUAUUUGUUCACUGGUAUGGUUUGUAUUAUGUGAAAAUUUUGUCACAGAGGUAAUGAAAUAGAAAGGUACUAUCACCUUGUAUGAUACAAUAUUGGAUACCCCAACUCCCUGGGGGGGGGGGCACGUUAUGGUUAGAAACUUAAACAUUUUAAGUUCCUGUAGCCUACUAUGCCUGGAAAUCAGGCUAACUUGGGGAGGCAAUCUAAAUUCUAAACUUGCUGCACUUUUUAUGACAAUGAAUCAUCCAUUGAUAUCAUGGUAAGUUUACUACUAUAAUCCUUUGCCCUUUGGACUCAUCUAAUAUGUUUAAUAAAGGAAACAUACAGGACAUAUGAACAUUGCAUGCUUGCAUUUGCUUUAUGAAGAAAAAGGGGACUAAAAUACAAAGAUUUUGCCAUAGCCACAUAAAGUUGAAGGAAUAAAGCUCGACGUACCUUAGAAUAUGCUCCAAAAUAAACUGCUUGCUUGCUUGCGGAUAACGCCAGUUAUCCUCUCAUAAAUUGCACACUGGACAGCAUCUUCAGUACAUUUUGGUGUACUGAUAAAAAAAAAUGCUCAAAAUAGAGGACUUAUGAAUACCCUGAAUUCAUCAUGAUUUUAGAUAUCGUAAGACAUUGCAAAGCAUGCUUCCGAAAGUUAAAUGAGAAUUGUACAUACUUGAUUCACGGGUACCCUUCAGAAGUCUCAGCAACAUCUGACAGUUGUUUAUGUCUGAUGCAGUGUUUUUGUUACGUCUGCGAAGUAGCUGCUCCCUGUAAGCAGUGGGAAGGAACAGAUGGGCAUUGCAAUGUAUCGAAGAAGUAAUAAAGGAGAUUUUAGAAGACUUGGUAAGGACUUCCCGGAGAGGGCAGAAUUUUAAGUCUGCUGAUAUAUAGAACCCUUGCUCUGUUCCAAGAGGAUUUGUGGGAUAUCUUAAGAAAGUUAAAUGUUUUGGCGGUUUAUUGCUAAAGGCUCUUUCAUACCAGGAACUGAUAAAUACCAUCACGAGUUGAUGAGGAAUCAGUGGAAUUUAACUUCUUUCAAAUUAAUUAAGACAUAAACACGGGCAUAUCACAAGUACGUCCGACCCCACGAAACUAUUAUACUUGGGAUUCUCGCUAUUCGUAGAAUUUUUUCCAAGUGAAAUUUCUCUCUGUUCUAUCAUGCAUGCUUGGCGGUCUCGCAGGGCACUGUCUCAACACUAUUCCUUCAACCAAAGAUUACGAAGAGGGGGAAGGAAAAAAAAUCGAGAUGUUUAAAGUAACUUUUAUCUAUUCCAGUUAAGCAAACUACGGUUUUGGCCAAGUGCAUAGUGCUGCAAAACUAGGCAACAACCUUACUAGCUAGAAUAUCUUUCCUUAACAAAAGAGAAGAGCAUAUCUAACACGACUAAAAUCAAACACAGAGACUGGAUUUCUACAAUUACAUUGUUCCCGAAUAAUUUCAUAAAAUUAACACAAGGACAAUAUUAGCACAUUGGCACCGACUUCGCUUACACAUUCAAAUGAUCAACUGCAGAAAAAUUACAGCAACACAAACAUAAUACAAAACAGACUAGCUAACUUUGUGGAAGUAUUAAGUAACGGAGAUAAUCAAUCAAGUAUCAUCAUCAUAAGAGGCAUGGAAGUCCGUAGAACAACCUGGGGCAUCUGGAUCCUCGGCGCCGCAGCAGUCGUAGAACUUGGCAGCAUAAGGCGGAUCAUCCGGUCCAAGCUCGUAGUACCUUCGAUCAACAAGAAUAAAAGAAUCGGGAUGGAUCUAUUUAAUCCAUCGAUUUGAACAGGUUGGCUUAACUAUUGGCUUAACUAUUCAGAUUAAGAAAAAGAAGACGAGAGAGAGAGAGAGAGAGAGAGAGAGAGAGAGAGAGAGAGAGAGAUCGAUCGUAGUGUGGUUAGUGUUUAGGGUUUAGGGAUUAGUUGGUGACCUCUUCUGGUCGUCGUGGCGUCGGCAAACGAAGAAGGAUGGGUGGAAACUGCAGGAGGAGGGCGUGUUUUCGGAGGGAUCGAAGCGGCGCUUGCAUCGCCGACACAGCUUCUCCACCGCAGCAGCAACCACCACGACCUCCCCUGCUUCCGACAUCUUCUUUCUUUCUUCCUUUCUUUCUUUCUUUCCUCGCUCGUCGCCCGCCCAUCUUUCCCCCAACUCGCUCUCCCCCUCCCUCUCCGCCCCUUGUCUUCUCUGAUCCCCGAGCCACGCGUCGUCACGAGGCCCAUAUAUAUAGAUAAGGCCGGCUUCUUGGGCCGGCCCAUUGUGACGCGGGUGCCAGCGGAUCGGACGGUUCAGAAAGUUUAGGUCAGGCCCGCUCCCCGAUCAAACUAAACUGAAAACUCGCAGGGAUUGCGAUUGCGGAGUCAUGAGCUUUUGAAAAGAACUUCCUUGGUUGGGAUUGUAGAAAAAUUAUGUUACGUGAAGUUAGAAAAUGCGAUUAAAAAUUAUGAUGUUUAUUUUCGUACGUAAUAUUACAUUCCGCAUAUCGCGAUUAGUCGGUUAAGAUAUAUUUUUUACGGUUCUAUCGGAGAACGCAAAAGUAUAUUCCUAUAUAUUUUUAUCCCAUCUUUAUUUUAUCUAAUAGCAUUAAAUAACUUUGGACGUUCCUAUAGAAAAUAGGAUUAGAGUAGGAACUGGUGACCUACCUAGAGAAAAUAGGACUAGAGGUUGAACUGGCUUUUUGGCAUUCAGUUUAUUCUUGUUUAAGUAUUUUAGUUUUAGGAACAAAGCAGUGGAACACCCAAAUAUCAUCUCAAGUAAAAGUAACUACCAGACAACAGAAAAUUACGGCAGGGACAUUAAGGACUUCACCUUCAUGAGCAGCAAUCUCAGACAGAUAAGUUGCAUUGUGCCUUGUGUUUUCACUCGGGUCAGUGAAUUCAAUGAUUAAGCCGUACUUUCCAAUCUGCAUGUCAGAACAAAAAAUUUACUCAAAUAGAAACUUUUAUAACUAAAAAUUCUUAAACAACAUAUGGAACUAAAAUAAUGACAUAGAACACCUGAAAUAAAGACAUAGAACAGACAAGUAAAGCAGAACCUGUUAAUUGACAAGAUAAUAAGUAAUUCUUAGUGCAUCUUUGUUGGAAGAAGAAUUUGAGGAACACUUGUAAUUAAAAUAGCAUAUUAUUCAGGGGUUGAUUAUGUAGAUCAUGACAUACUAAUAAUUCCUAUAUAUUUAAGGCCUAUUAGUUGGUAAAAGAUAUACUUUCUCAUUUGACAAUCAUUUUGUAGUUUGAUCCUCAGCUUGCCUCUUUGCUGUACCAGAUGGGGUGUUUAACUUGCCUCUCACAAAUAAAUUACUCAUACAAAGUUUCACAUCUAUUCCUACAAAGUUUUUUUUUUUUGAGAGAUUAUUCCUACAAAGUUUGAACUAUAAAAUUUGUAUAAUCUUGAUAGUCAAAUACAUUUCUCUAACAUUUAAAAGUAUGCAAAAUUUUAUUCGUGCAGGUUGACUAUUGUAAGUUCACGCACGGUGGAAAUAUACUUAAAAAUAAUUUUUAUUUAAGAGUAGGCCAUUUUGAAAAAGAAAAAGUUAACUUUAAACAUUCAACUAAUGGAGAGGAUGCAUUUCCAAACUAUGCACUAUGGAGAAACAUAUUUCAAGACUAAAAUUUUGGAGGAGUAAUUAUGUAUUCAACUACUUUACAGUUUACAGUGAUAAUAAUAUGCAUGAAAAAAAAAUUUGAAAAAAGAAUAUCAUAUAAGUGAUUGUAAUAAUUAGUAGUAUAACUGGGAGAUUUUCCAAAUUUCCCUGUACGUAUUGGCAUGUGCAUGGGAACUUCGGCAUUGGCACCUCUUCUAUGAAAAGGUGAAUAAGCUGGUGUAUCUAUUAUUGCGUUCAACAAAACGCCCGUAUUGCCAUUUGCAGCUAUACAUGUAUGUAGUUCAAAAAGCACUUGAUUUGGAACUAGGUAGAAGAAAACACUUCUGGGUCUUUGGAUUCGUCUAGCACGAUUAGAGAGAAGGAGAGAGAGUUCACUUAUUGCAUUUCAUAAUUCAUAUAAGUGCACCGCAUGGCAUCACUUACUACGGAUCAUUAUUAGUUAUCCAUAAUGUAACCUGUUUUCCAUAAUUAAUCAAAUUAUUUCUCGCAACGAUUUGUCCGUGCAAGGUUGUUUCUUGCGAACAUUUGGAAAGGAUCCUAUUUAAGGACCAUAUGCCUCUCCUCUUUGCAAGCACACCUUCUCUAUUGCGUUGCUACCAUGGAAAUUUUACACUCAAUCUUCUACUUGCUUAUUUCUUUUUCCUUCUUCCUAUCCAAUCCAACUCUUCUCUUGGUUCACUGCCAAAUAAAGCCCAUUUCAAAUGACACCCAAAUGCAGGUCUAUAUUGUUCAUGUACAAAAGCCUGACAGCACGAGCUUCCGUCGGUUCAAGGAUCGGAAAGAGUGGUACGCGUCCUUCUUGCCCAACACCACCCUCGACUCCGGCAAGCCGCGCAUGGUCUACGCGUACCGCCAAGCGAUCAGCGGCUUCGCAGCGUGGCUCACCUCUCAAGAAGUAGAAGCCAUGAAAUCUACGGAUGGCGUUCUCGUAGCCUACCCCGACAGCGAGUAUGAUGCUCAAACCACCUACACCCCGGAGUUCCUAGGACUAAACGCAUGGGAGGACGGCGUUUGGUACGACUCUCAAUACGGGGCGGGGCAAAUCAUCGGGGUUAUCGACACCGGAUUUAAGCCCGGUCAUCCUUCCUUCAGGGAUACUGAUGUAAAUCCGCCGCCAGAGACGUGGAACGGAAGCUGCUACUGGAAACAUUCCGUGUGCAACAACAAGCUCAUCGGUGCAGUGGGAUACAAGCAUGGGCGCACCGUCUCACCUGAAGACAAGAACGGUCAUGGAACCCACACAGCGAGCACAGCUGCGGGGAAUUUCGUGGAUGAUGCUCACGUACUCGGCAUGGCACGCGGCACGGCGUCAGGGACGGCACCUAAAGCUCAUCUAGCAAUCUAUAAGGUGCUACACAUCACCAAAACUGCGAGUACUGGUACGGUUGUCAAAGCGCUUGUUAGUGACACAUUGAGGGGCAUCGACGAAGCGAUCCGGAAUCACGUAAAUGUGCUAUCCAUGUCCCUCGGGUUGGAGAAGCAACGGCUGCAUGCGGACUCUAUUGCCAUAGGAUCAUACGCAGCAAUCACCAAAGGGAUCGUCCCGGUGGCCGCUGCCGCAAAUGCAGGCCCCUUCGCGAGUGUCAUAGCGAAUGAUGCGCCGUGGAUACUUACCGUCGGAGCAAGCACUACAGACAGGAGGAUAAGGGCCAUUGUCAAGCUCGGAAACGGUAUGGAGCUCUUCGGCGAAACAGCAUACCAGCCGGAGGGAUUCAACUCGACUCAGCUACCGUUGGUUUAUCCAGGGGUGCGAAAGACGCAAAAGACCUUGAAUUGCUUGAACGGCUCCAUGGACACUUUCGAUGUUAAAGGGAAAAUCGUGUUGUGCGGGGUUGGACAUAUUACAAACAUCGAAAAGGGUGAGAUCGUUAAGGCGGCAGGCGGUGCGGCGAUGAUACUAAUGAACCAGCCGUGGAAUGGGAACACGACGUUCUCCGAACCCCACGUCAUCCCGACGGCCCAUGUGAGCUUCAGCGAUGCGUGGAAGAUCAUCACGUACUUCAACUCCACGCCUAACGGAACAGCAGCAAUCACCUUCAACGGCACACAAUACGGCGUUCAACCAUCACCCUCGGUGGCUUACUUCUCGUCUCGCGGCCCUAGCCUCAUGAACGGCAACAUCAUCAAGCCGGACGUCAUCGCACCGGGCGUCAACAUUCUAGCCGCUUGGCCGUUCGAGGUAGGACCUAAACCCAACCACACCCUUCCGCCCACAACUCACACAUUCAACUUCGAAUCGGGAACGUCGAUGGCGACCCCUCACGUGGCCGGCAUUGUGGCAAUGUUAAAGAAUAACCAUCCUGAUUGGUCUCCCGCCGCCAUUAAGUCGGCAAUAAUGACUACAGCUUACACAGUCGACGUCAAUGGGAAGCCUAUCGGCGACGAUUCCAAGCCCACGGGGACCCCAGCUAGUGCAUACGCCAUGGGCUCGGGCCACGUCGACCCGACGGCGGCCAACGAUCCAGGCCUAGUCUAUGACCUUCACCAUCAAGAUUAUAUCCAUUACCUCUGCGGCAUGGGCUUCACCGACAAACAAGUCGAAGCCAUCGGCCGCGGUAAGGUGCAGUGUUCUAAGGUCCGCGCGAUCAGCCCGGAACAGCUGAACUAUCCUUCUAUUGCCGUGUACCUAAGUGCUAAUACGACCGAGGUGACGGUCAACCGAACGGUGACGAAUGUCGGGGACGCCGUCACGACCUAUGAGGUGAAGUACGACGAACCGGAAGGAGUGAGAGUCGAAGUUAUGCCUGAUAUGCUGGAAUUCUCGCGUGCCGGGCAGAUGAAGGAUUUUCGAGUCAAGUUGAGCAUCAAGCCGGGGAGCCCAACAGUUAGGAU